Molecule: non-coding RNA, 18 nt
Filed under: Arabidopsis thaliana (thale cress)
Lineage: Eukaryota; Viridiplantae; Streptophyta; Magnoliopsida; Brassicales; Brassicaceae
Source: RNAcentral
UGAAGUAGAUGUUGUCGC